Molecule: transfer RNA, 71 nt
Filed under: Leptolyngbya sp.
Lineage: Bacteria; Bacillati; Cyanobacteriota; Cyanophyceae; Leptolyngbyales; Leptolyngbyaceae
Description: tRNA-Trp
Rfam family: tRNA
About the family: Transfer RNA (tRNA) molecules are approximately 80 nucleotides in length. Their secondary structure includes four short double-helical elements and three loops (D, anti-codon, and T loops). Further hydrogen bonds mediate the characteristic L-shaped molecular structure. tRNAs have two regions of fundamental functional importance: the anti-codon, which is responsible for specific mRNA codon recognition, and the 3' end, to which the tRNAs corresponding amino acid is attached (by aminoacyl-tRNA synthetases). tRNAs cope with the degeneracy of the genetic code in two manners: having more than one tRNA (with a specific anti-codon) for a particular amino acid; and 'wobble' base-pairing, i.e. permitting non-standard base-pairing at the 3rd anti-codon position.
Source: RNAcentral
GUAGAGAUGGUGUAACGGCAGCAUUGGGGUCUCCAAAGCCUUUGGUUCAGGUUCAAAUCCUGAUCUCUGCG